Doryrhamphus excisus (bluestripe pipefish) is the source of this 9914-nucleotide non-coding RNA. The record is from RefSeq and is a predicted model, not a curated record. Lineage: Eukaryota; Metazoa; Chordata; Actinopteri; Syngnathiformes; Syngnathidae.
UACUUUUUAUUUUUGUGUUGUGUUUGUCACUUCAAAUUUGGAAAUGUGCCAAAAAAUUGCAGUUGCGGGUCUCAAAUUUGCUGCUGUGGCUGUAGGCGACGUCCUGAUGUAGACAUUAAUGACAUUAGUGACAUUAAUGACAUUAGUCAUUAAUGACAUUAAUGACACAAGAUGGCGUAGUGGCGGCACGGCGGUCUAGUGGUUAGCGCGCAGACCUCACAGCUAGGAGACCAGGGUUCAAUUCCACUCUCGGGCAUCUCUGUGUGGAGUUUGCAUGUUCUCCCCGUGGGUUUUCUCCGGGUACUCCGGUUUCCUCCCACAUUCCAAAAACAUGCUAGGUUAAUUAGCGACUCCAAAUUGUCCAUAGGUAUGAAUGUGAGUGUGAAUGGUUGUUUGUCUAUAUGUGCCCUGUGAUUGGCUAGCGACCAGUCCAGGGUGUACCCCACCUCUCGCCCAAAGACAGCUGGGAUAGGCUCCAGCACCCCCCGGUAGAAAACGUAGUGGGUGGGUGGUCAGGAUCCUGUAGUAUCGACCUCGGUAUCUACCUUCGUAUAUUUAGGGAUUGUGUUUUGAGUGAACAAUGGCAAUCGAAGAGAGAAGAGGGAUUUGGGUAAUGAUCCAGGGCCCGGUGCUAGGUGGGUUCGCUGAGAGUAGAUAUAGCAAACUUUCUACCAGCAGAUUGGAGAAGUUGAGGCUCUAAAACAAAUCUUUGUUUCUCUUUUCCUUUUUUUUCCCUGCUGUAGAAAAAAAAAAAAAAAGUAUUCCGUCUCGUCUCCCACACACUGUGUCCCCGUUUGGUUCUUGCCGCUAUGUCUGUCUCUGCCGCGCUUUGCUGUCUCGUCAUCUUCUCGCAUUUGGUUUGCCCUCGCUGCCGUCUUCCUCUCUCCCACUCGUAGUGCACACAAACACACACACACACACACACACAUAAACGCAAAUACACAACUACACAACAGGGCGUGCAAUUGUUUUCUCCGGAGCAGACAGUUUGGAUUUGUGCCAGCUCUCAUUAUCGCCUAUAUCUGUGUACUCACAUCGACACCCCUCCCCCAGCACCCCUCGCUUUUUACUCCUUCACAUGGCACACACUGUACCGCACACACACACACACACACAGGCCUCUUAACACUGGCAGCGUGGAUGCUAACACGCCGGAUACAUAUGUUGCACGCCUGCUGUCUUUGUCUGAGAAGUUGUUUGGGUUUUUAUAUAUAUAUAUAUAUAUUUUUUUUUUUUUUUUGUGGAGCUGAGCACGAGUCUACGUGAGCCCAAUGACAAUGAGGAGUGGACCCUCGCCAGGGGAGGGGGGGCUAGAGAGAGAAAGUGUGUGUGUGUGUGUGUCCAUAGGGAUGGGACAUUGAAUGUGCAACACUGACCUCUAGUGGUCACGUGCUGUUUUAAUCAUAAUGAGGGCCCUUGUUAGCAGGAUGUUUUUUUGUUGUUGUUUUUCCUUCUUUCAAGCCGAAGUCAGUUAUUCUAUCAAAAGCAAGGACUCGGAGAAGUAAUAGAUUACUUUUGAACUAACCAUCCAUCUUUACAAGUGUAAUAUUCUCCCUUUAAUUGGCCAAGGAGGAACAAUAUUUGCUAGCUGAAUUGGGUUAAUGGAACCCGUAUGCCUCACUUAAAGGGAAACUGCAUGAUUUUCUUCUCACUGUGUUGAAAUGUUCAUUUUUGAUUAAAUGUAAGGAUUGUACAGGAAAGGUUCUUAGAAAAGCCUAUACAGUACACGCAGUACUAAUGGAAUUUUUUGUAUUUUUUUUACACACCUUUCACUCCUCCCUUCUAGACCUUUCUGCUAGCUUGAUGAAUGAUAGCAUAAGAUGGAGGCACAAAUAUAUACAUAUUUCUGUGGCUGACAGCAGCUAUGAGUGAAACAGGAAGUACAUUUCUUUUGGCUUUUUUUCCUGGCUUUUAUUUAUAUAUUUAUUUAAAUACGCAUAGUGAUUUAUUUUUUUUGGGCUUGAUCCCUUUAUAUUCCGGAUGCUUCCUGAUGAAUACCGAUGGUGCUUACUAGUGGAGAUUCGAACCCAGGGCAAAUAAAAGAUGUGGACUUUAUUUUUGUACAUUUUACUCAACAGUAAUCCCUCGUUUAUCGCAGACUUGACCGUGACAAGUGAAUUUGUCGCAUUUAUAAGCCAUAUUUUUGUACAGUUUAAGCAUAGCAAACAUGAUUAUGACCUACUAAGGUCAGGUUUCUAACAUCUGUCGAGCCCUCUAGUGGUGAAAUACUGUAUAGGGCAGAAGUAGCAUUGUAAUUGUGAAUGUAGUACUGUAGUCCACAUUAGUGAGACUCCUCAUUACGGUUCCCGAGGGAACACAUUUACUCCGAACUGCCCGAGCAAGAACAACAAUUUAUUUCCCUUUUACAUGGCUUAUUUACUCAUAUUCUGUCUGCUGUAUUAAGUAAGACGAGUGUAAAGCCAUUUAAAACCUCAAGGAAGUACGCUAGAAGUACACUGUCCAGAAAAAUACAAGGAACUCCUAACAUGCGAGUCUGUGUUAUCUUAUUUAUGUCUAAUAUGUAUUAUUUUCUAGGAUUUGAUCUACUAUUUUGGUUAAUACAAAUGUAAAUGUGACUAUAGGGGUGUUAUAUCAUGUCUUGAGGGCUCUAAUAAUGUAUAUACAGGUUUUCAAACAAAAAUGUUCAGUUUAUUCAUAUUGAAUCCUACUUUGCGGAAAUUCACUUAUCUAUUAUUUUGGUUAAUACAAAUGUAAAUGUGACUAUAGGGGUGUUAUAUCAUGUCUUGAGGGCUCUAAUAAUGUUAAUACAGGUUUUCAAACAAAAAUGUUCCGUUUAUUCAUAUUGAAUCCUACUUUGCGGAAAUUCACUUAUCUACUAUUUUGGUUAAUACAAAUGUAAACGUGACUAUAGGGGUGUUAUAUCAUGUCUUGAGGGCUCUAAUAAUGUUAAUACAGGUUUUCAAACAAAAAUGUUCUGUUUAUUCAUAUUGAAUCCUACUUUGCGGAAAUUCACUUAUCUACUAUUUUGGUUAAUACAAAUGUAAACGUGACUAUAGGGGUGUUAUAUCAUGUCUUGAGGGCUCUAAUAAUGUUAAUACAGGUUUUCAAACAAAAAUGUUCCGUUUAUUCAUAUUGAAUCCUACUUUGCGGAAAUUCACUUAUCGUGGUCGGGUCUGGAAACACAAGGAAUGACUGAACGCCGUUCGAUUCCCUGCUUAUUGCCAUGAAAACGAGUGUUUUGUUCAGUUCCAUUGCAAACAUACAUUAAAAACGCCGCUGUGUGUUUCCAAGGAGGAAAAACGUCCCUCAAGAUCCUUUCUGCUAAUCUCUGGCUUUAAAAAUGCUAAUCAGCCUGUGCAACGAGAGCAACAGGGAACGACUGCCGGACCGCCCCCGUUCAAAGCGCCGGCGUUGUUGCUAGCAUGAAGGCUAGCUCUUAACGAGAUGAGUAGUCAAGGAGGCCGUGAUAAUUACCUGACAAUUAACACUCCCAAGUCUCACACUCGCCACCAGCUGUUCCCCUCAGAGGAGGUGGAGGAGGAGGAGGAGGAGGUGCAGAGAGUGGUCCAGAGGAAGGUUGACGUUGGGCCUCCUCGCGAGAACAGAUGGUGACUGCAAGGCUUGUUGGCAAUCAGCACGUUUUCAAGCUAAUGACUUAAUUAGCUAUGCAAAUGGACAAAUCAGUGUGGAUAUUGUCGUUUAGUUGAAAAGCUCACCUCAAUGAAUUAGCAGCAUUAAGACAUCGUCGGGCGGAAAAACGCUCGCCAUGGGGGGACUUUACUCGGUCCCGACUUUGAUCAAUACACUGCUGGCUGGCACUCGGCACCAAACACCAUGUUUGUUUGGAUUAACGCUUGUUGGAUUGUUGGCUUUACGUGUGUGAGAUGUAUGGAGUAGAUGUAUGGAAUAUACCAGGAUGCUUUCAGGGUCUUUUUGCCUGUCUGUGCUUUUCAGGUGUGCAAUUAGGAUGUGAUUGCACUGUGUGUGUGAGUGUGUAGUGGGGUAGCAGUGACACACAUGACCAAUGAAGCGUGCACUCCAUUUAGCUGUGCAGCUUCCAGCAGGUUACAGAAGGGGGUGCUGUUUUCCCCCUUUAAUAGUACAUUUAAAAACUGCAUUGUGUUAUUUAAAUUAAAUGACGUUUUUGUUUGAUGAUUUAAGUGUGACAAACGUGCAAAAAAUGCCACAUAUGUAGUUUUUAUUUCCCAAAAUGUAUGUAUACAAACACACAUAUACAUACAAGAUACGCUGUUAGCCUGAUACCAGUCUCUUUCAUCAUACUUUCAACCGCGUUAUUAUGUGGAGUGAAAUGUAGCGUUCAAAGACACCACGUAAUUAAAGCAACAAGUGAAUCUUUUUUGGCUCCAUCUUAAAUAAUAAUAAUAAUAAAUUUUAUUUGUAUAGCGCUUUUCAGAGUACUCAAAGACGCUUUACAGUAGAGAAAAAAUAAAUACAAAUAGAGUUGAGUAAAAACAGAGUAAACGAUGCAUUAAAAUACAAUAUCCAAACAUUCAUUCAGAGCUAAAACAAGGCUAAAAGCGGGGUCAGGUAUAAAACGUUAAACGGAUUAAAAACGGAUUUAAACAGGUGGGUUUUGAGUUGUUUUUUUAACAACGUUCGUUCGUUAAUACUGUAAUGACCCUUAGGGGUAUUAUGUGUUACGUGUUAUGUUGUAUUUGCACUCGUGUUGCCAUUGAGAGAUAUGUUCCGGGUUGGGAAGGAAUAGGGGUGGCGGACAGGAAGUGGGGGAGAGAGACCGCAUGUGAGGGAGUUGGAGGCGUGGGUUAUGGCCGCAACAGUAGCCCUUGUUAAGAAUUAUCUCCUGUGAGCCUUAAAUAAAAACCGGCUGUUGUUCCGCCUGUCUGGUCUGGUGUUUGGCCGAUCGAAGAGUGUUACACUGGUGUCAGAAGGGUUUUUACGGACCUGCGCCGAGAACUAGUGUUGCUGAGUGAGGACUCGUCGCGCACGCUAUGUCGACGGCCAAGGUGAAGGAGGAGGAAGGGGAAGAAAUGGAUCUUCGUUCGUCCAGACGCCGGGUCAGGGAGGAGGCAAGACAGCUGGCCGCUGAGGCAGGAUUCGCGCCAUCUUUCGCGCGGCGGGCGAACUUUGGACACCAUGACGGCAGCAUGGACGAAGUUGGAGCGGCACGUGACGUAGACAAAGAUGGCGGCGCCCAUGUCUGCGGCGUGCCGGCGAAUAUAAAGACGCCGAAAUUUAAUGGCAAAUCGACAUGGGAGGUAUUCCAAGCCCAGUUUGAACUUGUGGCUGAAGCAGCCGGGUGGUCCUAUAGACAGAGAGCCCUGCAGUUAGCUCUUUGCCUGUCGGAUGAGGCUGCUGAAUGCCUGCUCCUGUUAAGUCACGAGGAGAGGGGGGACUACACGUCACUGCUGGGGGCGCUACAGAGGCGGUACGGACGGUACAACCAGCCUGUGUUGCUGCGCUCAGAGUUCCACAAUAGACACAGACGGCCUGGAGAGUCCUUGCGUGUCCUGGCACACGAUAUAGAGUGUCUUUGCAAGCGAGCGUACGAGAAUAUGCCGCCGUUCGUGCGCGCAGAGCUUGCUAGGGACCAGUUUCUGCAAGCUCUCAGCCCCAAAGAGCUGCGUAUCCAGACCCAGCUGGAGCAACCCGGCACACUGAGUGAGGCUCUGGAGCUGGCAUCAAAAAGAGAGAUGCUAAGUGUGGACGGGGGGAGGAGCAAGGAGUUGUCCGUAGCUCGAGUCACAGCGACCAGCGAGUGGCUGGAGCAGCCGGAAGGACCGCAAGCUGUGGUGCAAGCAGCUGUCCUGCAGCCGGCUGCCCCAGUUGGCCACAGACGUCGUCGACCACAGACAUGUUGGGGCUGUGGAGUGGAAGGACACCUCCUGAGAGAAUGCCCCAAGCUGGCAGCGCUGCAGGGAAACCGGCGGGGGCCCUUGUAAAGGGGGAUACACUGGCCCGAGGGAUAAACAACCCCACCCCAUUGCUGCCUACACCGAGCCAAGUGGUAACGGUGGGCUGGACCCAUGUUGGGGACUUUUGCCACAUCCCAGUGACAAUAGCAGGCAAGAGGUGCACAGCUCUCCUGGACACGGGGUCCAACGCAACACUGGUACGGCCUGACACUGUCCCGACAGGGGCUACCCUGGAACCUACUGUGGUCCAGCUGAGGACGGUGACGGGGGCGCUGGCUCCGAUGAGAGGACGCGGAGUAUUCCAGUUCGAAGUGGGCGACCGCUCAGUGCCUUUUACUGCAUGGGUGGCGGAGGUGCAGGAGGCUUGCAUCCUGGGGCUGGACUUCCUGAGAGCCAUUGGCGCAGUGCUGGACUUGGGCACCAGCGCCCUGUUGCUUCCUGGGGGAGGUGUGGUAAAGCUGACAUCAUCAACAGCACGCUCGACCACCCCCGCUGUGACGGCCAGCACCAUAAAGACAGCAGUAGCACCACCACAGGAACUGCAGCAAGGGGGGGACAAGCAGACCACUGCAGUCAAGGACAUCUGGGCCAAGAAUUGCGAGGGCCUAAACCACCAGCAACAACAGAGGCUAUGGCAGUUGCUGCUGGACUAUAAGGACAUUUUCGCACUGGAGGAGAACGACGUGGGCAUAACUCACCUGGUGGAGCACACCAUUGACACCGGUGAUGCUCAGCCCGUCAAAGUGCGCCCUCGCCGCAUGCCAUUAGCCCGUCAGGAGGCGGCAGACAGAGAGCUGGCCGAAAUGCUUAAAGCCGGCAUAAUAGAGCCCUCUGACAGUCCGUGGGCCUCCGCUGUUGUGAUGGUGCCCAAAAAGAACAGCUCAAGGAUGCGCUUUUGCGUUGAUUACAGGCCCCUGAACAAGGUCACCAGAAAAGACUCCUACCCCCUCCCCAGAAUUGAUGAGUCCCUGGACUUGGUGGCUGGGUCCUCGUGGUUCUCCACCCUGGACCUGCGAAGUGGGUACUGGCAGGUUCCGCUGGCCCAGGAGUCCAAAGCAAAGACUGCUUUUUGCACAUCUGGAGGUCUGUGGCAGUUCAAAGUUAUGAGCUUCGGCCUGUGUAAUGCCCCUGCAACCUUCGAGAGGUUAAUGGACAGAGUGCUGGCAGGCGUCCCACGUCGGAGGUGCUUGGUGUACCUUGAUGACCUGUUGGUGCAUGGGAGCUCAUUUGAGGCAAGCUUGGACUCUCUGCGGAAGGUGUUGGAGAGGAUAGCAGCUGCAGGUUUGAAAUUGCAUCCGAACAAGUGCCACUUCAUGAGGAGGGAGGUGGAGUUUCUAGGCCACAAAUUGGGACGGGAAGGCAUCUGCACACUGGACGAAAAGAUCAAUUCCAUCAAAAACUGGCCCACCCCCACAGACCAGACUCAGCUCAAAAGUUUCCUGGGCCUGGCUUCCUAUUACAGGAGGUUUGUGAGGGGAUUUUCGUCCAUCGCCGCACCCCUCUUCCACCUGUUGCGGAAAAACUGUGACUUCAGCUGGUCUGCGGAAUGCCAACAGGCAUUUGACACCCUCAGGAGAACUCUGACUGAGUCCCCAGUUCUCGCCCCACCCGACCCUUCCCUCCCUUUUAUACUGGACACAGAUGCCAGCAACGUCGGGCUGGGAGCUGUGCUGUCGCAGAGAGGGCCAGUGGGAGAGAGAGUGGUUGCGUACUUCAGCCGCGUCCUGAGUAGGAGUGAACGGCGCUAUUGUGUCACGAGGCGAGAACUCCUGGCAGUGGUCGUGGCAAUAAGGCACUUCAGGUACUACCUGUGUGGUACACCCUUCAUCAUCCGGACAGACCACGCGGCACUGCAGUGGCUGAUGUCGUUCAAGGAGCCAGAGGGCCAAGUGGCACGUUGGCUGGAGGAGCUCCAGUCUUUCAAUUUCACUGUGGAGCACAGAGCUGGUGCACACCACAGCAAUGCGGAUGCGCUCUCCCGCCGUCCAUGUGCUGCAGUUGGCUGCCGCUUUUGCGAGAAGAGAGAGGAGCGAGAGAAAGAGCUCACGCAGAUGGACGAAGGAACGCAACUCCCCUGCAGAACACUCCAGGCUGUGGACACGGUGGACUGGAGAGCAGGACAAGAGCAAGACCUGGAGCUAACACCGGUGUUACAUUGGCUGCAGCAGGAGCAGAGACCACCCUGGGACCAGGUCACCGGGCUCUCCAUCUUCACGAAAGGACUGUGGGCCAAGUUUCAGACUCUUCGGCUGAAAGACAACGUGUUGCAGCGAGCAUGGCGAGAUCCGGCUACGGGAGAGGACAGGUGGCAGAUUGUGGUGCCCAAGCCCUUGAGGACAGCUGUGAUGGAAGCCUGCCAUGGGGGCACUGGCUCGGGCCACUUCGGCGUUGCCAAGUCCCUCCGGCGCCUGAGGCAGAGCUACUACUGGGGACAGCAGCGCAGAGAUAUAGAGGACUUCUGCCGCAGCUGUGACGCUUGCUCCGCUCACAAGGGGCCGCUGGACCAAUCUCACGCACCACUUCAGCAGCAGCUGGCGGGGGCACCGAUGGAGAGGGUGGCCAUAGACGUCAUGGGGCCCUUCCCCCGCACAGAGAGGGGUAACAGGUAUGUCUUAGUGGCCAUGGACUAUUUCACAAAAUGGCCAGAGGCAUAUGCUGUUCCUGACCAAGAGGCUGAAACUGUAGCAGACGCCUUAGUGGAGGGGAUGUUUAGCAGGUUUGGAACGGCCACCACUCUGCACAGUGACCAGGGCCGUAAUUUUGAAUCAAGGGUGUUUGCGGCCCUGUGCGACCGACUAAACAUGCAGAAGACCCGCACAACCCCCCUCCACCCACAGAGUGACGGCCUGGUAGAAAGGUUCAACCGGACGCUGGCCCAACAACUAGCCAUCUUGACCGCUGAGCACCAGAAGGAUUGGGACGCCCACCUUCCGCUUGUCCUCAUGGCCUACAGGUCGGCUGUGCAGGACUCCACCCGGUGUACACCUGCGCUGCUAAUGCUAGGACGGGAGCUGCGGACACCUGCAGAGAUGGCCUUUGGCAGACCACCAGAUGUUCCAGCUGCUCCGCCGGGUCUGGAGUAUGCCAAGAAACUGCAGGACCGGAUGGAGUCCGCACACACCUUCGCCCGAGACCAGCUGGCAAAGGCCGGGUUGCGUCAGAAGCGUAACUAUGACGCCACCACAAGAGGAAGACAUUUCCAUGCUGGGGAGAUGGUGUGGGUCUAUAGCCCGAAGAGAAAAAAAGGACGGUGUCCCAAGCUGGACAGUAGCUGGGUGGGGCCCUGCAGGGUGCUCGAGAGGGUGGGUGAGGUGGUCUACCGGGUCCAGCUGCCACCUAGGGGGCGGAGGGUGGUACUUCACAGAGAUAGGUUGGCUCCAUAUAGGGGGAACAACCUUCCGCCCUUCCCAGAGGAGCGGGUCACUACCCCGCCCUGCCCCUCCCCUGCAUCUGUGCCUCCACCAACAGACUAUGGUUCACAACAGGGGCAGUUGCCCUAUGCCCGCAUCCCUGAUUCGCAAUCCCAAGAAGCUCGGGCGUCACCGGGGAGCCCUACUCGGCCACGGCGGCGCCGUAGAUUGCCUCCCCGCCUCAGAGACUGUGUUGUUCCAUCGAGGACGAGGAACUUACUGUUGGGGGGGCAGUGUAAUGACCCUUAGGGGUAUUAUGUGUUACGUGUUAUGUUGUAUUUGCACUCGUGUUGCCAUUGAGAGAUAUGUUCCGGGUUGGGAAGGAAUAGGGGUGGCGGACAGGAAGUGGGGGAGAGAGACCGCAUGUGAGGGAGUUGGAGGCGUGGGUUAUGGCCGCAACAGUAGCCCUUGUUAAGAAUUAUCUCCUGUGAGCCUUAAAUAAAAACCGGCUGUUGUUCCGCCUGUCUGGUCUGGUGUUUGGCCGAUCGAAGAGUGUUACAAUACUCCCGCAGUGAGAUGAUGUGAUGGUGGUGGGCGAGCCGACCCUGAUGGGCGGCGAGUUCGGGGACGAGGACGAGCGUCUGAUCACCCGCCUGGAGAACACGCAGUACGACGCCACCAACGGUCUGGAUGACGAGGACGACUUCAC